GACGGGAGCGGCCGCCGGACACAGCCGGUAGGCGGGGUUGCGGGGCAGGCAGGGAGCCUGGGAGGGACAGGCGCGGUCCGCGGAGGACGACGGGCUCCCGCCGAGCUCUCCGGACCCGCGGCCCGCAGCCGCCGCCCUUCAGCAGCGGCGGUUCCCGGGCAGUUGGGUGCCCGCCGGCCUCGCCGUUACAAUUGGAGGUAUCUUAGGCGCGGCGGCUGGGCUCCGGCGACGGAGGCAAACGAGAUUGAGUCGGUCCCGGCGCGGGGCCGUUGCCUCUGGCUUAAUACGGCAGAUGCGCGGAAACUCCAACAGGUGGCUCCGUGGCGCAAUGGAUAGCGCAUUGGACUUCUAGAGGCUGAAGGCAUUCAAAGGUUCCGGGUUCGAGUCCCGGCGGAGUCGCGACGUUUUAAUUUUGUCAUCGGGAAAUUUUCUUUGACUUCUAUCUUUUAUUCCUUUCCUUUGUAAUCUAAAACAGCUUAACUCCCCGCACAGCCACAGACCACUCCGCUGCGCUCCUCAACCCUUAGCUGCAGCUCUGGGGGUGGCCUUCACACCGCAUUAACCUACCCGGGCCGGUCCCAGUGCGGAGAAGAGGGAGGCAGUAGAGAAUCCAGGAGCUGGAUGUAGGCCUAAAGGAGAGCGUGGGACAGGCCUGGGUCUGGAGUGACAUCUCACAUCUGGAGCUUGAGUGGUCACCAGCAGGAUCGAGAAGACAAGAUGCGUAGGCUAGUCCGAAGACAUUAGAAAUACACCACCUCACCCCACCCCACCUCCGGAAUCUCAAGUGGAU
RNAcentral lists this long non-coding RNA (790 nucleotides) under Rattus norvegicus (Norway rat). RNAcentral describes it as "long non-coding RNA NONRATT016827". The stretch from base 315 to 399 matches the Rfam family "tRNA". The record is from RNAcentral. Lineage: Eukaryota; Metazoa; Chordata; Mammalia; Rodentia; Muridae.